AUUGAACGCUGGCGGCACGCCUAACACAUGCAAGUCGAGCGGCAGCGAGGUUAGUAGCAAUACUAACUGUCGGCGAGCGGCGGACGGGUGAGGAACACGUAGGAACCUGUCCUUAAGAGGGGGACAACCAAGGGAAACUUUGGCUAAUACCGCAUAGACUCGAAAGAGGAAAGCUGCUCGCAAGGGUGGCACUUAAGGAGGGGCCUGCGUCCGAUUAGCUAGUUGGUAAGGUAAAGGCUUACCAAGGCGAUGAUCGGUAACUGGUCUGGGAGGACGACCAGUCACACUGGGACUGGGACACGGGCCAGACUACUACGGGAGGCAGCAGUGGGGAAUAUUGGACAAUGGGGGCAACCCUGAUCCAGCGAUGCCGCGUGGGUGAAGGAGGCCUUCGGGUUGUAAAGCACUUUAGAUUGGGAAGAAGGUAAGUUGUUUAAGAGAUGAUUUGCUUGACUGUACCAAUAGAAUAAGCACCGGCUAACUCUGUGCCAGCCGCCGCAGUAA
This 504-nucleotide ribosomal RNA is filed under the name uncultured bacterium. RNAcentral's name for it is "partial 16S ribosomal RNA". It matches the Rfam family "Bacterial small subunit ribosomal RNA", at positions 30 to 523 of the family's 1533-position model. The record is from RNAcentral.